CAUGCUAGUCGAACGGUAACAGGAAGCAGCUUGCUGCUUUGCUGACGAGUGGCGGACGGGUGAGUAAUGUCUGGGGAUCUGCCCGAUGGAGGGGGAUAACCACUGGAAACGGUGGCUAAUACCGCAUAACGUCGCAAGACCAAAGUGGGGGACCUUCGGGCCUCACACCAUCGGAUGAACCCAGAUGGGAUUAGCUAGUAGGUGGGGUAACGGCUCACCUAGGCGACGAUCCCUAGCUGGUCUGAGAGGAUGACCAGCCACACUGGAACUGAGACACGGUCCAGACUCCUACGGGAGGCAGCAGUGGGGAAUAUUGCACAAUGGGCGCAAGCCUGAUGCAGCCAUGCCGCGUGUAUGAAGAAGGCCUUCGGGUUGUAAAGUACUUUCAGCGGGGAGGAAGGGAUGGCGCUUAAUACGCGCCGUCAUUGACGUUACCCGCAGAAGAAGCACCGGCUAACUCCGUGCCAGCAGCCGCGGUAAUACGGAGGGUGCAAGCGUUAAUCGGAAUUACUGGGCGUAAAGCGCACGCAGGCGGUCUGUUAAGUCAGAUGUGAAAUCCCCGGGCUUAACCUGGGAACUGCAUUUGAAACUGGCAGGCUUGAGUCUCGUAGAGGGGGGUAGAAUUCCAGGUGUAGCGGUGAAAUGCGUAGAGAUCUGGAGGAAUACCGGUGGCGAAGGCGGCCCCCUGGACGAAGACUGACGCUCAGGUGCGAAAGCGUGGGGAGCAAACAGGAUUAGAUACCCUGGUAGUCCACGCCGUAAACGAUGUCGACUUGGAGGCUGUUUCCUUGAGAAGUGGCUUCCGGAGCUAACGCGUUAAGUCGACCGCCUGGGGAGUACGGCCGCAAGGUUAAAACUCAAAUGAAUUGACGGGGGCCCGCACAAGCGGUGGAGCAUGUGGUUUAAUUCGAUGCAACGCGAAGAACCUUACCUGGUCUUGACAUCCACGGAAUUCGGCAGAGAUGCCCUAGUGCCUUCGGGAACCGUGAGACAGGUGCUGCAUGGCUGUCGUC
This 1013-nucleotide ribosomal RNA is filed under the name Mixta calida. RNAcentral describes it as "bacterial SSU rRNA". It matches the Rfam family "Bacterial small subunit ribosomal RNA", at positions 54 to 1056 of the family's 1533-position model. The record is from RNAcentral. Lineage: Bacteria; Pseudomonadati; Pseudomonadota; Gammaproteobacteria; Enterobacterales; Erwiniaceae.